AGAUUAAGUUAUUAAGGGCGCACGGUGGAUGCCUUGGCACUAGAAGCCGAUGAAGGACGUUACUAACGACGAUAUGCUUUGGGGAGCUGUAAGUAAGCUUUGAUCCAGAGAUUUCCGAAUGGGGAAACCCAGCAUGAGUUAUGUCAUGUUAUCGAUAUGUGAAUACAUAGCAUAUCAGAAGGCACACCCGGAGAACUGAAACAUCUUAGUACCCGGAGGAAGAGAAAGAAAAUUCGAUUCCCUUAGUAGCGGCGAGCGAAACGGGAAGAGCCCAAACCAACAAGCUUGCUUGUUGGGGUUGUAGGACACUCUAUACGGAGUUACAAAGGACGACAUUAGACGAAUCAUCUGGAAAGAUGAAUCAAAGAAGGUAAUAAUCCUGUAGUCGAAAAUGUUGUCUCUCUUGAGUGGAUCCUGAGUACGACGGAGCACGUGAAAUUCCGUCGGAAUCUGGGAGGACCAUCUCCUAAGGCUAAAUACUCUCUAGUGACCGAUAGUGAACCAGUACCGUGAGGGAAAGGUGAAAAGCACCCCGGAAGGGGAGUGAAAUAGAACCUGAAACCGUGUGCUUACAAGUAGUCAGAGCCCGUUAAUGGGUGAUGGCGUGCCUUUUGUAGAAUGAACCGGCGAGUUACGAUUUGAUGCAAGGUUAAGCAGUAAAUGUGGAGCCGUAGCGAAAGCGAGUCUGAAUAGGGCGUUUAGUAUUUGGUCGUAGACCCGAAACCAGGUGAUCUACCCUUGGUCAGGUUGAAGUUCAGGUAACACUGAAUGGAGGACCGAACCGACUUACGUUGAAAAGUGAGCGGAUGAACUGAGGGUAGCGGAGAAAUUCCAAUCGAACCUGGAGAUAGCUGGUUCUCUCCGAAAUAGCUUUAGGGCUAGCCUCAAGUGAUGAUUAUUGGAGGUAGAGCACUGUUUGGACGAGGGGCCCCUCUCGGGUUACCGAAUUCAGACAAACUCCGAAUGCCAAUUAAUUUAACUUGGGAGUCAGAACAUGGGUGAUAAGGUCCGUGUUCGAAAGGGAAACAGCCCAGACCACCAGCUAAGGUCCCAAAAUAUAUGUUAAGUGGAAAAGGAUGUGGCGUUGCCCAGACAACUAGGAUGUUGGCUUAGAAGCAGCCAUCAUUUAAAGAGUGCGUAAUAGCUCACUAGUCGAGUGACACUGCGCCGAAAAUGUACCGGGGCUAAACAUAUUACCGAAGCUGUGGAUUGUCCUUUGGACAAUGGUAGGAGAGCGUUCUAAGGGCGUUGAAGCAUGAUCGUAAGGACAUGUGGAGCGCUUAGAAGUGAGAAUGCCGGUGUGAGUAGCGAAAGACGGGUGAGAAUCCCGUCCACCGAUUGACUAAGGUUUCCAGAGGAAGGCUCGUCCGCUCUGGGUUAGUCGGGUCCUAAGCUGAGGCCGACAGGCGUAGGCGAUGGAUAACAGGUUGAUAUUCCUGUACCACCUAUAAUCGUUUUAAUCGAUGGGGGGACGCAGUAGGAUAGGCGAAGCGUGCGAUUGGAUUGCACGUCUAAGCAGUAAGGCUGAGUAUUAGGCAAAUCCGGUACUCGUUAAGGCUGAGCUGUGAUGGGGAGAAGACAUUGUGUCUUC
Molecule: ribosomal RNA, 1591 nt
Filed under: Escherichia coli
Lineage: Bacteria; Pseudomonadati; Pseudomonadota; Gammaproteobacteria; Enterobacterales; Enterobacteriaceae
Description: partial 23S ribosomal RNA
Rfam family: Bacterial large subunit ribosomal RNA
Source: RNAcentral